GACGAACGCUGGCGGCGUGGAUUAGGCAUGCAAGUCGAACGGUAUCAUCCUUUCGGGGGUGAGAGAGUGGCGAACUGGUGAGUAACACGUAGGUUAUCUACCCUCAAGACGGGGGACAACCCAGGGAAACUUGGGCUAAUACCGGAUGUGAGCAACUUUUAGUUGUUUGAAAGGUGGCGUAAGCUGUCGCUUGGGGAUGAGCCUGCGUCCUAUUAGUUAGUUGGUGAGGUAACGGCUCACCUAGGCAAUGAUAGGUAGGCGGCCUUAACGGGUGGUCGCCCACACUGGGAUUGAGAUACGGCCCAGACUCCUACGGGAGGCAGCAGUCGAGAAUAGUCUACAAUGGUCGGAAGACUGAUAGUGCGACGCCGCGUGAACGAUGAAUCCCUUCGGGGUUAAAGUUCUUUUAUAUGUGAGCAGUGCUUCUUAUAUUAACAGUAUGGGGAAGAGAUAUUAGCAUAUGAAUAAGCAACGGCUAAACUCCGUGCCCAGCCAGCCGCGGUAAU
Molecule: ribosomal RNA, 506 nt
Filed under: uncultured bacterium
Lineage: Bacteria
Description: bacterial SSU rRNA
Rfam family: Bacterial small subunit ribosomal RNA
Source: RNAcentral